RNAcentral lists this ribosomal RNA (397 nucleotides) under uncultured bacterium. RNAcentral describes it as "partial 16S ribosomal RNA". It matches the Rfam family "Bacterial small subunit ribosomal RNA", at positions 523 to 918 of the family's 1533-position model. The record is from RNAcentral.
AUACGUAGGUGGCAAGCGUUGUCCGGAAUUAUUGGGCGUAAAGCGCGCGCAGGUGGUUCCUUAAGUCUGAUGUGAAAGCCCCCGGCUCGACCGGGGAGGGUCAUUGGAAACUGGGGAACUUGAGUGCAGAAGAGGAUAGUGGAAUUCCAAGUGUAGCGGUGAAAUGCGUAGAGAUUUGGAGGAAUACCAGUGGCGAAGGCGACUGUCUGGUCUGUAACUGACACUGAGGCGCGAAAGCGUGGGGAGCAAACAGGAUUAGAUACCCUGGUAGUCCACGCCGUAAACGAUGAGUGCUAAGUGUUAGGGGGUUUCCGCCCCUUAGUGCUGCAGCUAACGCAUUAAGCACUCCGCCUGGGGAGUACGGUCGCAAGACUGAAACUCAAAUGAAUUGGCGGGG